Necator americanus (New World hookworm) is the source of this 46-nucleotide non-coding RNA. NCBI's taxonomy places the organism in Eukaryota, Metazoa, Nematoda, Chromadorea, Rhabditida, Ancylostomatidae. The record is from Rfam.
UCAACGGCCCUUUUUAGGGCCACUAACCUGCGAAUACAAAUCGAAA